RNAcentral lists this long non-coding RNA (541 nucleotides) under Brassica napus (rape). RNAcentral's name for it is "long non-coding RNA (BNAP_LNC015028)". Lineage: Eukaryota; Viridiplantae; Streptophyta; Magnoliopsida; Brassicales; Brassicaceae. The record is from RNAcentral.
GCAUUUUUCCACGUUGAACUCACUUGUGUAAGCAAAAUGUACACUUAAUUACCUUUCUUUGCGAACUUAUCCACAUCUACACGUUAAAUUGAAUUAUUCAAAUGAAUGCAAAAAUGCAUCCACCUCUUCAAGUUUACACCAAUAUUCCUUUGUUAAGAAUCUUAUUUCAAUUUUUUUUUAAAUGUUUAUAAACAUUUUUCAAAUAUGUUCAAAAUUACAAUAUGUACACACGUACAUAUAUACAAUAUGUACACAUGUACACAUAUUCAUCAUGUUAUGUCACAUGUACACAUACAAUAUGUACACAUGUACAUGUACACAAUAUGUACACAACUUUUCCCAUCAAAAGUCUUCGUACCGAAAUCUUGAAGAGACUACCAAACCAGGACCCCAUUAACUUCUCCAUCUCAGGCGUGCCAUCAAGUUUGUUCCUCACCCACAACAGAUUGUCAAUGGUCGAGUACAUAUGCACCCUCUCGCAUGGACACCGGUCAGUCGCGAAAAGCUUCUCCGAUAGCGCUGCUUUAACAUCCUCCACCUC